AGAGUUUGAUCCUGGCUCAGAUUGAACGCUGGCGGCAUGCCUUACACAUGCAAGUCGAACGGUAACAGGUCUUCGGACGCUGACGAGUGGCGAACGGGUGAGUAAUGCAUCGGAACGUGCCCAGUCGUGGGGGAUAACUGCUCGAAAGAGCAGCUAAUACCGCAUACGACCUGAGGGUGAAAGCGGGGGACCGUAAGGCCUCGCGCGAUUGGAGCGGCCGAUGUCAGAUUAGCUAGUUGGUGGGGUAAAGGCCUACCAAGGCGACGAUCUGUAGUUGGUCUGAGAGGACGACCAGCCACACUGGGACUGAGACACGGCCCAGACUCCUACGGGAGGCAGCAGUGGGGAAUUUUGGACAAUGGGCGCAAGCCUGAUCCAGCAAUGCCGCGUGCAGGAAGAAGGCCUUCGGGUUGUAAACUGCUUUUGUACGGAACGAAACGGUCUGGGUUAAUACCUCGGGCUAAUGACGGUACCGUAAGAAUAAGCACCGGCUAACUACGUGCCAGCAGCCGCGGUAA
RNAcentral lists this ribosomal RNA (518 nucleotides) under uncultured bacterium. RNAcentral describes it as "bacterial SSU rRNA". It matches the Rfam family "Bacterial small subunit ribosomal RNA", at positions 8 to 523 of the family's 1533-position model. The record is from RNAcentral.